UGACAGACCGUUGCAUGAAGCUGUUAGGUUUGGAAAACAAUCCAUCCUAUCGUUUCUCCUUGAGAAGGACGCAAACCCAAAUGUCCAAAAUAACUAUGGCGACUGUCCCUUGAUGUACUGUUUCGACACUACAAGAUACAGGAUAAAUGGAUGGACUAAAAAGGCAAAUGUUCUUCUUAAGCAUGGUGCAAGAAAGGACAUGAGGAAUAAGCACGAAAAAAUGGCAGUUGAUCAUCUGGAUAGCUUUCUACAGAGGAUACGAAAUGGCACAAGUAUUGAAAACGAGAUAAGAAACGCUGAAGAACUUGCAGAAGCCUAUCAUCUCUAUGACGUGCUCACAGAGGUACAUGAUUAAAACUUUUCUAAAUCUCUGAAACAACAAUGGAAAGAAUAAACUAUU
Long non-coding RNA from Mizuhopecten yessoensis (Yesso scallop), 400 nucleotides. RefSeq lists it as uncharacterized. Lineage: Eukaryota; Metazoa; Mollusca; Bivalvia; Pectinida; Pectinidae. The record is from RefSeq and is a predicted model, not a curated record. The transcript is spliced from 3 exons.